This 818-nucleotide ribosomal RNA is filed under the name uncultured archaeon. RNAcentral's name for it is "bacterial SSU rRNA". It matches the Rfam family "Archaeal small subunit ribosomal RNA", at positions 46 to 869 of the family's 1478-position model. The record is from RNAcentral.
UAGCCAUGCGAGUCGAGAGGGGUUAAGCCCUCGGCAUACUGCUCAGUAACACGUGGAUAAUCUGCCCUAAGGUGGGGGAUAACCUCGGGAAACUGAGAAUAAUACCCCAUAGGUCUGGUAUGCUGGAAUGCUUCCAGGCUGAAAGAGUUAUCGCCUUAGGAUGGGUCUGCGGCCUAUCAGGUCGUAGUGAGUGUAACGGACUCACUAGCCGACAACGGGUACGGGCCUUGAGAGAGGUUGCCCGGAGAUGGAUUCUGAGACACGAAUCCAGGCCCUACGGGGCGCAGCAGGCGCGAAAACUUCGCAAUGUGGGAAACCACGACGAGGGUAUUCCAAGUGCUAUCACAAUGUGGUAGCUGUUUCCAUGCCUAAAAAGCAUGGAGAGUAAGGGCUGGGUAAGACAGGUGCCAGCCGCCGCGGUAAUACCUGCAGCUCAAGUGGUGGCCACUAUUAUUGGGCCUAAAACGUUCGUAGCCUGUUUAGUAAAUGCCUGGGUAAAUUGUGUAGCUUAACUAUACGAAUACCGGGUAGACUGCUAAACUUGGGACCGGGAGAGACUAGAGGUACUCCUAGGGUAGAGGUGAAAUUCUGUAAUCCUAGGGGGACCACCAGUGGCGAAGGCGUCUAGUCAGAACGGGUCUGACGGUGAGGAACGAAGCCCUGGGGCGCAAACCGGAUUAGAUACCCGGGUAGUCCAGGGUGUAAACGCUGCUCGCUUGAUGUUAGUCGGGCUCCGAGCCCAACUAGUGUCGGAGAGAAGUUGUUAAGCGAGCUGCCUGGGAAGUACGGUCGCAAGACUGAAACUUAAAGGAAUUGGC